This 1929-nucleotide ribosomal RNA is filed under the name human gut metagenome. RNAcentral describes it as "bacterial LSU rRNA". It matches the Rfam family "Bacterial large subunit ribosomal RNA", at positions 3 to 1973 of the family's 2925-position model. The record is from RNAcentral.
UCAAGUGACUAAGUGUAUGUGGUGGAUGCCUUGGCGAUCACAGGCGAUGAAGGACGUAGUAGCUUGCGAUAAGCUGCGGGGAGCCGGCAAACGGGCAUUGAUCCGCAGAUUUCCGAAUGGGGGAACCCACCGACGUAGGUCGGUAUCACGCACUGAAUACAUAGGUGCGUGAGGCGAACGGAGCGAACUGAAACAUCUAAGUAGCUCCAGGAAAAGAAAUCAACCGAGAUUGCGAAAGUAGCGGCGAGCGAAAUUGCAGCAGCCCAGUGUUCUGAUAGCACGAACGACAGCAGAAGGGUCUGGAAAGGCCUGCUAUAGAGGGUGAUAGCCCCGUAUGCGAAAUCGGACGUGUGGUACUAAGGAACCGAUAAGUAGGGCGGGACACGUGACAUCCUGUCUGAAGAUGGGGGGACCAUCCUCCAAGGCUAAAUACUCGUGAUCGACCGAUAGUGAACCAGUACUGUGAAGGAAAGGCGAAAAGAACCCCGGGAGGGGAGUGAAAUAGAACCUGAAACCGCAUACAUACAAACAGUAGGAGCCCCUGCAGUGGGGUGACUGCGUACCUUUUGCAUAAUGGGUCAGCGACUUACGUUUUGUGGCGAGCUUAACCGAGUAGGGGAGGCGUAGCGAAAGCGAGUUCGAAUAGAGCGACAAGUCUCAAGGCGUAGACCCGAAACCAGAUGAGCUAUCCAUGGCCAGGUUGAAGGUGUGGUAACACACACUGGAGGACCGAACCGACUAGUGUUGCAAAAUUAGCGGAUGAGCUGUGGAUAGGGGUGAAAGGCUUAACAAAUCUGGAGAUAGCUGGUUCUCCCCGAAAACUAUUGAGGUAGUGCCUCGUGUAUUGCUCCAGGGGGUAGAGCACUGUUAUGGCUAGGGGGACAUGGCGUCUUACCAAACCAUGGCAAACUCCGAAUACUUGGAAGUAAGAGCACGGGAGACAGAGCACCGGGUGCUAACGUCCGGACUCAAGAGGGAAACAACCCAGACCGCCGUUUAAGGUCCCAAAUAUUGACUAAGUGGAAAACGAAGUGUGAAGGCUAAGACAGUCAGGAAGUUGGCUUAGAAGCAGCCAUCCUUCAAAGAAAGCGUAAUAGCUCACUGAUCGAGUCCUCAUGCGCGGAAGAUGUAACGGGGCUAAGUCAAUAACCGAAAGCGCGGAUUUGCAUGAAAGUGCAAGUGGUAGGGGAGCGUUCUGUAAGCCUGCGAAGGUGGUUCGAGAGGACUGCUGGAGGUAUCAGAAGUGCGAAUGCUGACAUGAGUAACGUUAAAGCGGGUGAAAAGCCCGCUCGCCGUAAGCCCAAGGUUUCCUGCUCUACGUUCAUCGGAGCAGGGUGAGUCGGCCCCUAAGGCCAGGCUGAGAAGCGUAGUCGAUGGGAAGCAGAUUAAUAUUUCUGCACCAUGUGCAAGUGCGAUGGGGGGACGGAGUGCGAAAGAUCAUCCGGGUGUUGGAUGUCCCGGUUUGUGAGUGUAGAAGGCCGACAGGCAAAUCCGUCGGCGGAUCUUCGAGACAAAGCAUCGAGGUUCUACGGAACCGAAGUGAUCGGAAGUGCUUCCAGGAAAAGCCUCUAAGCUUCAGCUUGUACAUGACCGUACCGUAAACCGACACUGGUGGGCGAGUUGAAUAUACUCAGGCGCUUGAGAGAACUCGGGAGAAGGAACUCGGCAAAUUGACACCGUAACUUCGGGAUAAGGUGUGCCUUUGUAGCGUGAAGAGAGAAACACUCGGAGCGUGAAGAGGCCUCAGAGAAUCGGUGGCUGCAACUGUUUAUUAAAAACACAGCACUCUGCAAAGACGAAAGUCGACGUAUAGGGUGUGAUGCCUGCCCGGUGCUGGAAGAUUAAGUGAUGGGGUGAGAGCUCCUGAUCGAAGUCCCAGUAAACGGCGGCCGUAACUAUAACGGUCCUAAGGUAGCGAAAUUCCUUGUC